CAUGCAGUCGAGCGGUAACAGGGGUAGCUUGCUACCCGCUGACGAGCGGCGGACGGGUGAGUAAUGCAUGGGUAUCUGCCCGGUAGUGGGGGAUAACUCGGGGAAACCCGAGCUAAUACCGCAUACGUCCUACGGGAGAAAGCAGGGGAUCUUCGGACCUUGCGCUAUCGGAUGAGCCCAUGUCGGAUUAGCUUGUUGGUGAGGUAACGGCUCACCAAGGCGACGAUCCGUAGCUGGUCUGAGAGGAUGAUCAGCCACACCGGGACUGAGACACGGCCCGGACUCCUACGGGAGGCAGCAGUGGGGAAUAUUGGACAAUGGGGGAAACCCUGAUCCAGCCAUGCCGCGUGUGUGAAGAAGGCCUUCGGGUUGUAAAGCACUUUCAGUGGGGAAGAAGGCAUGAUGAUUAAUACUCGUCAUGAAGGACAUCACCCACAGAAGAAGCACCGGCUAACUCCGUGCCAGCAGCCGCGGUAAUACGGAGGGUGCAAGCGUUAAUCGGAAUUACUGGGCGUAAAGGGCGCGUAGGCGGCUUGCCAAGCCGGAUGUGAAAGCCCCGGGCUCAACCCGGGAACGGCAUUCGGAACUGGUAGGCUAGAGUGCAGGAGAGGAAGGUGGAAUUCCCGGUGUAGCGGUGAAAUGCGUAGAGAUCGGGAGGAAUACCAGUGGCGAAGGCGGCCUUCUGGACUGACACUGACGCUGAGGCGCGAAAGCGUGGGUAGCAAACAGGAUUAGAUACCCUGGUAGUCCACGCCGUAAACGAUGUCGACCAGCCGUUGGACCCCUUGAGGGUUUGGUGGCGCAGUUAACGCAAUAAGUCGACCGCCUGG
RNAcentral lists this ribosomal RNA (830 nucleotides) under Kushneria phyllosphaerae. RNAcentral describes it as "bacterial SSU rRNA". It matches the Rfam family "Bacterial small subunit ribosomal RNA", at positions 54 to 876 of the family's 1533-position model. Lineage: Bacteria; Pseudomonadati; Pseudomonadota; Gammaproteobacteria; Oceanospirillales; Halomonadaceae. The record is from RNAcentral.